This 253-nucleotide ribosomal RNA is filed under the name uncultured bacterium. Its description in RNAcentral is "partial 16S ribosomal RNA". It matches the Rfam family "Bacterial small subunit ribosomal RNA", at positions 524 to 776 of the family's 1533-position model. The record is from RNAcentral.
UACAGAGACUGCAAGCGUUAUUCGGAUUCACUGGGCGUAAAGGGUGCGCAGGCGGCUAUGUGUGUGAGGCGUGAAAGCCCGGGGCUUAACCCCGGAAUUGCACCUCAAACUACAUGGCUAGAGCAUUGGAGAGGGUAGCGGAAUUCACGGUGUAGCAGUGAAAUGCGUAGAUAUCUGGAGGAAUACCGGUGGCGAAGGCGGCAUCCUGGACCAUUUCUGACGCUGAGGCGCGAAAGCUAGGGGAGCAAACGGG